This 465-nucleotide ribosomal RNA is filed under the name Centropomus mexicanus. Its description in RNAcentral is "partial large subunit ribosomal RNA". It matches the Rfam family "Bacterial large subunit ribosomal RNA", at positions 1930 to 2535 of the family's 2925-position model. Lineage: Eukaryota; Metazoa; Chordata; Actinopteri; Centropomidae. The record is from RNAcentral.
GCCGCGGUAUUUUGACCGUGCAAAGGUAGCGUAAUCAUUUGUCUUUUAAAUGAAGACCUGUAUGAAUGGCUAGACGAGGGCUUAACUGUCUCCUUUUUCAAGUCAAUGAAAUUGAUCUCCCCGUGCAAAAGCGGGGAUAUGCCCAUAAGACGAGAAGACCCUAUGGAGCUUUAGAUGCCACAGCAAGCAUAACUGCUACAUCCAAAUAAAGGAUGUAUCCACUAGCUUCUGCCUCAACAUCUUCGGUUGGGGUGACCAUGGGGAACGAAAAACCCCCACGUCUCUGUACUGGAGUCUCUAUUAAACCUAACAAACUCUUUCAAACAAGAGCCGCCGCUCUACUUAACAGAAUUUCUGACCAUUGAUCCGGCAAUGCCGAUUAACGAACCCAGUUACCCUAGGGAUAACAGCGCAAUCCCCUUCUAGAGUCCAUAUCGAUAAGGGGGCUUACGACCUCGAUGUUGG